Molecule: ribosomal RNA, 401 nt
Filed under: uncultured fungus
Lineage: Eukaryota; Fungi
Description: SSU rRNA
Rfam family: Eukaryotic small subunit ribosomal RNA
Source: RNAcentral
GCAAGUCUGGUGCCAGCAGCCGCGGUAAUUCCAGCUCCAAUAGCGUAUAUUAAAGUUGUUGUGGUUAAAAAGCUCGUAGUUGAACCUUGGGCCUGGCUGGCCGGUCCGCCUCACCGCGUGUACUGGUCCGGCCGGGCCUUUCCCUCUGUGGAACCCCAUGCCCUUCACUGGGCGUGGCGGGGAAACAGGACUUUUACUGUGAAAAAAUUAGAGUGCUCCAGGCAGGCCUAUGCUCGAAUACAUUAGCAUGGAAUAAUAGAAUAGGACGUGUGGUUCUAUUUUGUUGGUUUCUAGGACCGCCGUAAUGAUUAAUAGGGACAGUCGGGGGCAUCAGUAUUCAAUUGUCAGAGGUGAAAUUCUUGGAUUUAUUGAAGACUAACUACUGCGAAAGCAUUUGCCAA